UGGGGAAUUUUGGACAAUGGGCGCAAGCCUGAUCCAGCAAUGCCGCGUGCAGGAAGAAGGCCUUCGGGUUGUAAAGUACUUUCAGCGAGGAGGAAGGCGAUAAGGUUAAUAACCUUGUCGAUUGACGUUACUCGCAGAAGAAGCACCGGCUAACUCCGUGCCAGCAGCCGCGGUAAUACGUAGGGUGCGAGCGUUAAUCGGAAUUACUGGGCGUAAAGCGUGCGCAGGCGGUGAUGUAAGACAGAUGUGAAAUCCCAGGGCUCAACCUUGGAACUGCCUUUGAAACUCCCAGUCUUGAGGUCGAGAGAGGUGAGUGGAAUUCCGAGUGUAGAGGUGAAAUUCGUAGAUACUCGGAGGAACACCAGUGGCGAAGGCAAUCCCCUGGGCCUGCACUGACGCUCAUGCACGAAAGCGUGGGGAGCAAACA
Molecule: ribosomal RNA, 427 nt
Filed under: uncultured bacterium
Lineage: Bacteria
Description: bacterial SSU rRNA
Rfam family: Bacterial small subunit ribosomal RNA
Source: RNAcentral